Molecule: ribosomal RNA, 495 nt
Filed under: uncultured bacterium
Lineage: Bacteria
Description: partial 16S ribosomal RNA
Rfam family: Bacterial small subunit ribosomal RNA
Source: RNAcentral
GACGAACGCUGGCGGCGUGCCUAAUACAUGCAAGUAGAACGCUGAAGGAGGAGCUUGCUUCUCUGGAUGAGUUGCGAACGGGUGAGUAACGCGUAGGUAACCUGCCGUGUAGCGGGGGAUAACUAUUGGAAACGAUAGCUAAUACCGCAUAAUAGUAGAUGUUGCAUGACAUUUGCUUAAAAGGUGCAAUUGCAUCACUACCAGAUGGACCUGCGUUGUAUUAGCUAGUUGGUGGGGUAACGGCUCACCAAGGCGACGAUACAUAGACGACCUGAGAGGGUGAUCGGCCACACUGGGACGGAGACACGGCCCAGACUCCUGCGGGAGGCAGCAGUAGGGAAUCUUCGGGAAUGGACGGAAGUCUGACCGAGCAACGACGCGUGAGUGAAGAAGGUUUCCGGAUCGUGAAGCUCUGUUGUAAGAGAAGAACGAGUGUGAGAGUGGAAAGUUCACACUGUGACGGUAUCUUAACAGAAAGGGACGGCUAACUACGUG